Molecule: unclassified non-coding RNA, 467 nt
Filed under: uncultured fungus
Lineage: Eukaryota; Fungi
Description: partial contains ITS1, 5.8S rRNA and ITS2
Rfam family: 5.8S ribosomal RNA (bases 173-326)
Source: RNAcentral
GGCCCUCCGGGGCAAUCGUGCACGCCUUUGUCUCAACUCUCAACUCAACCCCCCCCUGUGUGCAUCCUCGCGUGGGUCCCGAGCGUCGGUUCGCUCGAGGCUCGCGUCCUUUUCUACAAAAACCUCCCGGGUACGUCGGAACGUGAGUCGCUGUAGAAGCGAAUCGUAGUACAACUUUCAACAACGGAUCUCUUGGCUCUCGCAUCGAUGAAGAACGCAGCGAAAUGCGAUAAGUAAUGUGAAUUGCAGAAUUCAGUGAAUCAUCGAAUCUUUGAACGCACCUUGCGCCCCUUGGUAUUCCGAGGGGCACGCCUGUUUGAGUAUCAUGAAAUUCUCAACCCGACCUCCUUUUGAAAGGGGGGGGGAGGGCUUGGAUUUUUGGAGGACUUUGCCCGUUUCCCUUUGUUGUGGGACCUGGCUCCUCUCGAAUGCAUAUGGGUGGGGCUUCGUCUGCCUCUCGGCGUGAU